UUCGUAGGCGGUGCGGCAAGUCGGGAGUGAAAUCUAUGGGCUCAACCCAUAGGCUGCUUCCGAAACUGCCGUGCUGGAGUGUGGGAGAGGCGCGUGGAAUUGCAGGUGUAGCGGUGAAAUGCGUAGAUAUUUGCAGGAACACCCGUGGCGAAAGCGGCGCGCUGGACCACUACUGACGCUGAGGAACGAAAGCUAGGGGAGCAAACAGGAUUAGAUACCCUGGUAGUCCUAGCCCUAAACGAUCAGGACUUGGGGUGCCGCCCGUUCGGGCGUCGUCCCGGAGCUAACGCGUUAAGUCCUGCACCUGGGGAGUACGGUCGCAAGACUGAA
This 330-nucleotide ribosomal RNA is filed under the name uncultured bacterium. Its description in RNAcentral is "bacterial SSU rRNA". It matches the Rfam family "Bacterial small subunit ribosomal RNA", at positions 568 to 898 of the family's 1533-position model. The record is from RNAcentral.